RNAcentral lists this ribosomal RNA (497 nucleotides) under uncultured bacterium. RNAcentral's name for it is "partial 16S ribosomal RNA". It matches the Rfam family "Bacterial small subunit ribosomal RNA", at positions 28 to 507 of the family's 1533-position model. The record is from RNAcentral.
GACGAACGCUGGCGGCGUGCCUAAUACAUGCAAGUUGAGCGCUGAAGGUUGGUACUUGUACCGACUGGAUGAGCAGCGAACGGGUGAGUAACGCGUGGGGAAUCUGCCUUUGAGCGGGGGACAACAUUUGGAAACGAAUGCUAAUACCGCAUAAAAACUUUAAACACAAGUUUUAAGUUUGAAAGAUGCAAUUGCAUCACUCAAAGAUGAUCCCGCGUUGUAUUAGCUAGUUGGUGAGGUAAAGGCUCACCAAGGCGAUGAUACAUAGCCGACCUGAGAGGGUGAUCGGCCACAUUGGGACUGAGACACGGCCCAAACUCCUACGGGAGGCAGCAGUAGGGAAUCUUCGGCAAUGGACGAAAGUCUGACCGAGCAACGCCGCGUGAGUGAAGAAGGUUUUCGGAUCGUAAAACUCUGUUGUUAGAGAAGAACGUUGGUGAGAGUGGAAAGCUCAUCAAGUGACGGUAACUACCCAGAAAGGGACGGCUAACUACGUG